Molecule: ribosomal RNA, 2489 nt
Filed under: Trichogramma pretiosum
Lineage: Eukaryota; Metazoa; Arthropoda; Insecta; Hymenoptera; Trichogrammatidae
Description: eukaryotic LSU rRNA
Rfam family: Eukaryotic large subunit ribosomal RNA (bases 301-2489)
Source: RNAcentral
ACUUGAGACGAAGAAAAGAGAAGUGCGUAGGUUGAGGAGAGAGUGGCAGAGAAUGGAUGAGGUAAGAAUGCAUGAUAAGCGUCGAGAAUAUAGAAUGUGUCUGAGGGAGUAUAGGGGUAUGAUGGCUGAAAGGAAAAGGAAUGAUUGGAGAAUGUAUGUGAAUGAACAGGGCAAUAAGGAUCCAUGGGGUAGUGUGUGCAAAAUUAUAAGGGGAAAACGGGUUAAUAGAGGAUUGGCAAGCCUAAGGGUGGGAGAUGUGGUCACGCGUAAUGGGAGUGAGAGUGCCGACUUGCUACUGGGAAAGUUCUUUCCUGGUGACAAUGAUAAUGAGGAGUGGAGGAUGAAUGUUGUAUUAAGAGAAAAUGAGAAUGAUUGGGUAGAGAUGCGUGAGGAUGAAAUAAAUGGUGCUGUUAGGAGGAUGAAAAGAAAAUAAGCUUCAGGUCUGGAUGGAAUUAUCAAUGAGGUGAUAGAGAUUGCGUGAAACCCUGAUGGAGAUCCGUAGCGAUUCUGACGUGCAAAUCGAUCGUCGGAACUGAGUAUAGGGGCUAAAGACUAAUCGAACCAUCUAGUCACUGGUUUCCUCCGAAAUUUCCCUCAGGAUAGCUGGCACUCGCUUGAGCGAGUCUCAUCUGGUAAAGCGAAUGAUUAGAGGCCUUGGGGCCGAAACGACCUCAACCUAUUCUCAAACUUUAAAUGGGUGAGAUCUCUGGCUUGCUUGAAUUGUGAAGCCAGAGAUUCAUUCAUGAACGGAUCAGAGUGCCAAGUGGGCCAAUUUUGGUAAGCAGAACUGGCGCUGUGGGAUGAACCAAACGCCGAGUCAAGGCGCCAAAGUCGACGCUUAUGGGAUACCAUGAAAGGCGUUGGUUGCUUAAGACAGCAGGACGGUGGCCAUGGAAGUCGGAAUCCGCUAAGGAGUGUGUAACAACUCACCUGCCGAAGCAACUAGCCCUGAAAAUGGAUGGCGCUGAAGCGUCGCGCCUAUACUCGGCCGUCAGCGGCAAGUGGGGCUCGAUUCGUUCUGCGGAUCGGGUCAUGAAGCCCUGACGAGUAGGAGGGUCGCGGCGGUGUGCGCAGAAGGGUCUGGGCGUGAGCCUGCCUGGAGCCGCCGUCGGUGCAGAUCUUGGUGGUAGUAGCAAAUACUCCAGCGAGGCCCUGGAGGACUGACGUGGAGAAGGGUUUCGUCUGAACAGCCGUUGCACACGAGUCAGUCGAUCCUAAGCCCUAGGAGAAAUCCUAUGUCGAUGACGGUGUAUGUAUUCAUUGCUUUUUUGUAUGGUAACAUAAUCGCACACCCGUCGGGCGAAAGGGAAUCCGGUUCCUAUUCCGGAACCUGGCAGCGGUACCGUCUUAAAUUCGGGCCCUCUUAAGAGUGUUCGUCGGGGUAACCCAAAGUGACCUGGAGACGUCGUCGGAAGAUGCGGAGAGAGUUUUCUUUUCUGUAUAAGCGUUCGAGUUCCCUGGAAACCUCUAGCAGGGAGAUAGGGUUUGGAACGCGAAGAGCACCGCAGUUGCGGCGGUGUCCGGAUCGUCCCCUCGAACCUUGAAAAUCCAGGAGAGGGCCACGUGGAACAGUCGCGCCGGUUCGUACCCAUAUCCGCAGCAGGUCUCCAAGGUAAACAGCCUCUAGUCGAUAAAAUAAUGUAGGUAAGGGAAGUCGGCAAAUUGGAUCCGUAACUUCGGAAUAAGGAUUGGCUCUGAGGGGCGGGGCAUGUCGGGCUUGAUCGGGAAGCGGGUCUGGCUGAGGUGGCGGGCCUGGGCGAGUCGCGAGUAGUCGUCGCGCGGGGUAGUGUGCGCGUUCACGCGCGUACGCCCUCGUGCGCUCGGUUGCGCCGCGUGGAGCUCGGUCCGUUGCCCCGGCCUCCCGCGGAUCUUUCUUGCUGCGAGGCUUUCGGGGUGGUUACGCCGCUCCGAUCGUCCUCUUCGGCCGCUAUUUAACGAUCAGCUCAGAACUGGUACGGACUAGGGGAAUCCGACUGUCUUAUUAAAACAAAGCAUUGCGAUGGCCCUCGCGGGUGAUGACGAAAUGUGAUUUCUGCCCAGAGGCUAACGUGGCGGCCGGAGUGCGCAUCUUGGAGUCUCAUCAACUAAGUAUGCCCAGGAGGACACUCGAUUCGAUCAAGGGCAUAAGAAAGAAGCCUUAAUACAAUGCCAGAGUAGCCUUCUACAGAAACGAGGCCCGAGCAGCAUGUUAGAGGGUCCAGGAAUCGAUGGAAGACACCGAGCGUCGGGCAGAUGAAGUGGCUCAGCAGAUUAGGCACCAUCUGGCUGAGGUGAUAGCGGCGCUUGAACACCGGAGCAACAAUCAUUAUUCCUUUUUUGCAGCGGUCGAAGCAAAUGUUAACCACCAGGGAGACCCCGCACAGAACUUACAACAAGGGCUUACGAGUGUGGCCGAUAGUGCUGGAGUAAGACAGCGGAGGCCUGGAGUCGCCCGUCAUGGUCGUGUCGCUGCUAGCGCAGGUGCAAUUAGUGACCGCCAACAGGAGCGA